This 415-nucleotide ribosomal RNA is filed under the name Grosmannia huntii. RNAcentral's name for it is "eukaryotic LSU rRNA". It matches the Rfam family "Eukaryotic large subunit ribosomal RNA", at positions 1 to 419 of the family's 3401-position model. The record is from RNAcentral. Lineage: Eukaryota; Fungi; Ascomycota; Sordariomycetes; Ophiostomatales; Ophiostomataceae.
UUGACCUCGGAUCAGGUAGGAUUACCCGCUGAACUUAAGCAUAUCAAUAAGCGGAGGAAAAGAAACCAACAGGGAUUGCCCCAGUAACGGCGAGUGAAGCGGCAACAGCUCAGAUUUGGAAUCUGGCCUUCGGCCCGAGUUGUAAUCUGGAGAGGAUGCUUCUGGCGCGGUGCCUUCCGAGUUCCCUGGAACGGGACGCCGGAGAGGGUGAGAGCCCCGUACGGUUGGACACCUAGCCUUUGUGAAGCUCCUUCGACGAGUCGAGUAGUUUGGGAAUGCUGCUCAAAAUGGGAGGUAAAUUUCUUCUAAAGCUAAAUAUUGGCCAGAGACCGAUAGCGCACAAGUAGAGUGAUCGAAAGAUGAAAAGCACUUUGAAAAGAGAGUUAAAAAGUACGUGAAAUUGUUGAAAGGGAAG